AAUAGAUACCCGGGUAGUCCACGCCGUAAACGAUGAGUGCUAAGUGUUAGGGGGUUUCCGCCCCUUAGUGCUGCAGCUAACGCAUUAAGCACUCCGCCUGGGGAGUACGGUCGCAAGACUGAAACUCAAAGGAAUUGACGGGGGCCCGCACAAGCGGUGGAGCAUGUGGUUUAAUUCGAAGCAACGCGAAGAACCUUACCAGGUCUUGACAUCCCAUUGACCACUAUGGAGACAUAGUUUUCCCUUCGGGGACAACGGUGACAGGGGGUGCAUGGUUGUCGUCAGCUCGUGUCGUGAGAUGUUGGGUUAAGUCCCGCAACGAGCGCAACCCGUGUUCUUAGUUGCCAUCAUUUAGUUGGGCACUCUAAGGAGACUGCCGGUGACAAACCGGAGGAAGGUGGGGAUGACGUCAAAUCAUCAUGCCCCUUAUGACCUGGGCUACACACGUGCUACAAUGGACGGUACAAACGGUUGCCAACCCGCGAGGGGGAGCUAAUCCGAUAAAACCGUUCUCAGUUCGGAUUGUAGGCUGCAACUCGCCUACAUGAAGCCGG
Molecule: ribosomal RNA, 554 nt
Filed under: uncultured bacterium
Lineage: Bacteria
Description: bacterial SSU rRNA
Rfam family: Bacterial small subunit ribosomal RNA
Source: RNAcentral